Molecule: long non-coding RNA, 404 nt
Organism: Lemur catta (Ring-tailed lemur)
Lineage: Eukaryota; Metazoa; Chordata; Mammalia; Primates; Lemuridae
Exons: 3
Source: RefSeq, a predicted model, not a curated record
CCAAGGCUGCCCUCCCAGCCCCGCCGGCCCGAGCCCCCAUCUUACAGGGUUUUUUGGCAUCCUUGAUCUUCAUGGCGUCGGCUGAGGGGCGAGAGGCAGCCUCGAGUCCGGAGCACGGAGAGCAGUGGCGGCGACUCCGGAGGGGUUGGGGCCGCGCGCCUCUUUGAUAGUAUCAGCUUGGGAGUCAAAGGCAAAGUGAGACAUGUACGUUGUGAUAGGCUGGUCAUGGUCUGAGAGGAAGGAGAGCUAGAAAUGAGAAGCCAUGGGAAUUUAGCCUGUCCUCAAGACCAUUCCCAGAAGAGUAAAUGCAGGAGCUGGAAAGAACAUUUAAAGGGGCCAAGAGACUGUCUUCCUGUCUCAUAUUUAUUGUCUACAAAAUGCAAUAAAUCCAGCCCAUCAUGCAA